Molecule: transfer RNA, 65 nt
Filed under: human oral metagenome
Rfam family: tRNA
About the family: Transfer RNA (tRNA) molecules are approximately 80 nucleotides in length. Their secondary structure includes four short double-helical elements and three loops (D, anti-codon, and T loops).
Source: RNAcentral
CGUAGCUUAACUGAAUAGAGCAUCUGACUUCGGAUCAGAAGGUUGUGGGUUUGAAUCCCGCCGGG